AUGACGGCGCGUCGGCUGCUCCUCCGUCAUGGUGUCGUUGAAGUGUGCAUGCACCUGCUCCAUGGUCAAGCCGACAUGAACCGGUGGGGGCUUCGACGUCGAGUCAUCGUCGGAGCCCGUCUCCCUUGUCGGGUCGUCAUUGGAGACUUCCGGGGAGCUGGUCCGCAUGCCGCCCUCUAUUAUAGAUGGGCAAAUCUGUUUGGAAACAGAACUCUUUUAUCGUGCAAUUAG
RNAcentral lists this ribosomal RNA (231 nucleotides) under Triticum aestivum (bread wheat). Its description in RNAcentral is "partial small subunit ribosomal RNA". Lineage: Eukaryota; Viridiplantae; Streptophyta; Magnoliopsida; Poales; Poaceae. The record is from RNAcentral.